AGUGAACGCUGGCGGUAGGCCUAACACAUGCAAGUCGAACGGCAGCACAGUAAGAGCUUGCUCUUACGGGUGGCGAGUGGCGGACGGGUGAGGAAUACAUCGGAAUCUACUUUUUCGUGGGGGAUAACGUAGGGAAACUUACGCUAAUACCGCAUACGACCUACGGGUGAAAGCAGGGGAUCUUCGGACCUUGCGCGAUUGAAUGAGCCGAUGUCGGAUUAACUAGUUGGCGGGGUAAAGGCCCACCAAGGCGACGAUCCGUAGCUGGUCUGAGAGGAUGAUCAGCCACACUGGAACUGAGACACGGUCCAGACUCCUACGGGAGGCAGCAGUGGGGAAUAUUGGACAAAGGGCGCAAGCCUGAUCCAGCCAUACCGCGUGGGUGAAGAAGGCCUUCGGGUUGUAAAGCCCUUUUGUUGGGAAAGAAAAGCAGGAGGUUAAUACCCCGCUGUUCUGACGGUACCCAAAGAAUAAGCACCGGCUAACUUCGUG
This 492-nucleotide ribosomal RNA is filed under the name uncultured bacterium. Its description in RNAcentral is "partial 16S ribosomal RNA". It matches the Rfam family "Bacterial small subunit ribosomal RNA", at positions 29 to 507 of the family's 1533-position model. The record is from RNAcentral.